AUUGAACGCUGGCGGCAUGCCUUACACAUGCAAGUCGAACGGCAGCGGACCUUCGGGUGCCGGCGAGUGGCGAACGGGUGAGUAAUAUAUCGGAACGUACCUUUCAGUGGGGGAUAACGUAGCGAAAGUUACGCUAAUACCGCAUAUUCUGUGAGCAGGAAAGCAGGGGAUCGCAAGACCUUGCGCUGAUUGAGCGGCCGAUAUCAGAUUAGCUAGUUGGUGAGGUAAAGGCUCACCAAGGCGACGAUCUGUAGCGGGUCUGAGAGGAUGAUCGCCACACUGGAACUGAGACACGGUCCAGACUCCUACGGGAGGCAGCAGUGGGGAAUUUUGGACAAUGGGCGCAAGCCUGAUCCAGCCAUGCCGCGUGAGUGAAGAAGGCCUCGGUGUAAG
This 393-nucleotide ribosomal RNA is filed under the name uncultured bacterium. Its description in RNAcentral is "bacterial SSU rRNA". It matches the Rfam family "Bacterial small subunit ribosomal RNA", at positions 30 to 429 of the family's 1533-position model. The record is from RNAcentral.